Molecule: ribosomal RNA, 804 nt
Filed under: uncultured Verrucomicrobiota bacterium
Lineage: Bacteria; Pseudomonadati; Verrucomicrobiota
Description: bacterial SSU rRNA
Rfam family: Bacterial small subunit ribosomal RNA
Source: RNAcentral
UGGGCGUAAAGGGUGCGUAGGUGGUUGGAUAAGCCUGAUGUGAUAGCUCCGGGCUUAACCCGGAAACGGCAUUAGAAACUGUUCGGCUGGAGGAUUGGAAGGGAGACUGGAAUUCUCGGUGUAGCAGUGAAAUGCGUAGAGAUCGAGAGGAACACCAGUGGCGAAGGCGGGUCUCUGGACAAUCCCUGACACUGAGGCACGAAAGCUAGGGGAGCAAACAGGAUUAGAUACCCUGGUAGUCCUAGCUGUAAACGGUGCACAUUUGCUGUAAGAGGAUUCGACCCCUUUUGUGGCGAAGCUAACGCGUUAAAUGUGCCGCCUGGGAAGUACGAUCGCAAGAUUAAAACUCAAAGAAAUUGACGGGGGCCUGCACAAGCGGUGGAGUAUGUGGCUUAAUUCGAUGCAACGCGAAGAACCUUACCUGGCCUUGACAUGUAUCUAGUAGAAGGGUGAAAGCCUGACGAGGUAGCAGUACCAGGAUACACAGGUGCUGCAUGGCUGUCGUCAGCUCGUGUCGUGAGAUGUUGGGUUAAGUCCCGCAACGAGCGCAACCCCCGUGUCCUGUUGCUAUCCGGAUGAGAGUCUGGAGCACUCUGGACAAACUGCCUCGCUUAAACGAGGAGGAAGGUGGGGAUGACGUCAAGUCAGGAUGGCCCUUACGGCCAGGGCUGCACACGUACUACAAUGCCCGGUACAAAGGGAAGCAAUACCGCAAGGUGGAGCCAAUCCCCAAAAAGCGGGCUCAGUUCAGAUUGUCGGCUGCAAUUCGCCGGCAUGAAGCUGGAAUCGCUAGUAAUGGCGCAU